GGCCAUGAGGAUAGGCGGGUUUGCUGACCUCGGGGCGUGAUGAACCUUUGGAGCCCCGAGG
Molecule: small nucleolar RNA, 61 nt
Organism: Pyrococcus furiosus DSM 3638
Lineage: Archaea; Methanobacteriati; Methanobacteriota; Thermococci; Thermococcales; Thermococcaceae
Rfam family: Small nucleolar RNA sR40
Source: Rfam